This 1825-nucleotide long non-coding RNA is filed under the name Daphnia magna. RNAcentral's name for it is "uncharacterized LOC116917577, transcript variant X3". Lineage: Eukaryota; Metazoa; Arthropoda; Branchiopoda; Diplostraca; Daphniidae. The record is from RNAcentral.
UCAACUUUUAUUCCGGGUAACCAGAAUGCGGAAGGUGUCAACGUGUAUAUAAGGCGGUAGCCAACACUUCAUUUCACAGUCGUGCUGGGGUCUUCCACUGCAUCUGUACUGUUGCUUCAACACUAUCUCAGGACGCAUCGCUUUCUUGCUUGUUAAUUACCAACGUAUACCCGAGGAUAAAAUGGGUAGUGAAUUCUAAGGAGCGUCGAUCUACCAAUAACAUGUCCCUGCCAAGUCAAAGACAAUCGAUUCCGCAAAAGCGUAUCUGGUCAAAAUGCGAGUUCGGGCGCCACGGUGAGCUUAGUGUUCAUUUACUAUAAGACGCCCUCGGCUGCAAAACGGCCUUCACACUAGAGAAAAAAAAUAAUCACCAUCCACCAACGCCAUCUAGCGGCCACGAUACGCACCUUUUUGAAAUCCCACCCACUGGAGGAGUGGCUGAAUCACUAUCGAUCACUACGACCAUUUCUAACAAUUAAUAUCGAUUUUAUCGUGCCAGUUCAGAUACAGGUGAAUGUCUCAGUGAUAAUACAUUUGUUUUUGUUUUCUAAACGUUUAUCAAUAACUGGUUUUCAAUACUGUUUAUCUCGCUUGUUGCAAUAACAUACCAGUUUAUCUCGCCGUUGAAAUGGACGACGCUGUCUGGAGUGUUUGUUGCGUUAAUCUAGUCGAUUAAAACCACAAUAAGUGUCCUCAGUGUCGCAUAUUCACUCCGGUUAGUGCCGGGCAAAUCUCUGUGAAUGAGGAUCUCCAAACCGAUCACGAUUUGAUGGCCCUACUUUUCCAAACAAAAAAAAAAUUAUUAUCACAGAGACAUUCACCUGUAUCUGCCACUGGCACGAUAAAAUCGAUAUUAAUUGUUGGAAAUGGUUAUAGGAAUCGAUAGUGAUUCAGCUCCUCCGCCAGUGGGUGGGAUUUCAAAAAAGGUGCAUGCCGUGGCCGCUAGAUGGCGAUGGUGGAUGGUGAUAAUUUUCUGCGAAAUAAAAUUAAAUGGCCCUAGCCGAUGGGCUGAAAUUUUAGGGGGUAAUUUGGCGUUCCGUAGGGAUGAUGGUUAAGGACCCCGUCUAAAGAUUUAUGGAUAUGAGUAUGUUGGUUCAAGUCUAUCUUUUGUCAUGUUAUCAAUGUGAGUAAAAUUUUAGAAAUUUUUUAUUUGAUCUCGAAGUGAAAAUGUUUAAUCCGUCUAUAGAUUUUUUGCCUAAAUGAUUAAUUCAAUUAACUACAAGAACAAGAAGAAAAUUUUUCAUUAACAUGAUAAUAAAACUUAUAUUUUUUUAACAUACUACUUUUUUCUUUUUAACAACUCAAUUGCCAUAUUGCUGUCAAACUAGCACACUUUUCAUUUCAAAAACUUGAUUUCCUUUUGUUUUAUCUUUAUCCUUGUGUUUAUGUAACUAUAACAAGUGUUAAAGUUUUUUGGGGGUGUUUUUCAAAGAGGCUAUAUUUGCGAGCGCCAGAUGGUGUCGUCGUAACCCUUGUUUAUCUAGGGAACGCCUACCCGGCAUAGGAGGUAUUUGAGUUUACAGGCCUUAAGCAUUAAGUAGGCCUUGGUCGUUGGUCGAUUUCGAUCGCCAUUGUACAGUUAAUGGCGUCGCGCAUUGGAAGUAUAUGCGUGUGUGAAUUUCGAUGAGCGUUGUACACCUUGGAGGCCUCGUUGACUCGCCAGUUGAAGAUACGUGUGCACAGUGUUAGUGCUUGGGUGCCUCGAGAGGAAAUUGCAGAACAUAGCCAUACAGUAUGGUGUCCUUCAACAAUGUCCAACCAUGGAAUGAGUCCCAUGUGACUGAGACAAACAACUGAUGCUUUUGCAUUUUGAAUGUCUAAAUUU